UACGUAGGGGGCUAGCGUUGCUCGGAAUCAUUGGGCGUAAAGCGCACGUAGGCGGCCUCUUAAGUCAGGGGUGAAAUCCUGGAGCUCAACUCCAGAACUGCCUUUGAUACUGGGAGUCUUGAGUUCGGGAGAGGUGAGUGGAACUGCGAGUGUAGAGGUGAAAUUCGUAGAUAUUCGCAAGAACACCAGUGGCGAAGGCGGCUCACUGGGCCGAUACUGACGCUGAGGUGCGAAAGCGUGGGGAGCAAACAGG
Molecule: ribosomal RNA, 253 nt
Filed under: uncultured bacterium
Lineage: Bacteria
Description: partial 16S ribosomal RNA
Rfam family: Bacterial small subunit ribosomal RNA
Source: RNAcentral